ACUCCUACGGGAGGCAGCAGUGGGGAAUAUUGCACAAUGGGCGAAAGCCUGAUGCAGCAACGCCGCGUGAGCGAUGAAGGCCUUCGGGUCGUAAAGCUCUGUCCUAUGGGAAGAUAAUGACGGUACCAUAGGAGGAAGCCCGCUAACUACGUGCCAGCAGCCGCGGUAAUACGUAGGGGCAAGGCGUUAUCCGGAAUUACUGGGCGUAAAGGGUGCGUAGGCGGUUUAUCAAGUCAGGGGUGAAAGGCUACGGCUCAACCGUAGUGAGCCUCUGAAACUGGUGAACUUGAGUGUAGGAGAGGAAAGUGGAAUUCCCAGUGUAGCGGUGGAAUGCGUAGAUAUAUGAAGGAACACCAAUGGCGAAGGCAGCUUACUGGACAAGUAUUGACGCUGAGAUGCGAAAGUGUGGGUAGCAAACAGGAUUAGAUACCCUGGUAGGCUCUGCU
This 446-nucleotide ribosomal RNA is filed under the name uncultured bacterium. Its description in RNAcentral is "bacterial SSU rRNA". It matches the Rfam family "Bacterial small subunit ribosomal RNA", at positions 335 to 801 of the family's 1533-position model. The record is from RNAcentral.